RNAcentral lists this ribosomal RNA (305 nucleotides) under uncultured bacterium. RNAcentral's name for it is "bacterial SSU rRNA". It matches the Rfam family "Bacterial small subunit ribosomal RNA", at positions 333 to 656 of the family's 1533-position model. The record is from RNAcentral.
GAUGUCCUACGGGAGGCAGCAGUGGGGAAUAUUGCACAAUGGGCGAAAGCCUGAUGCAGCAACGCCGCGUGAAGGAAGACGGUCUUCGGAUUGUAAACCUCUGUCUUUGGGGAAGAAAAUGACGGUACCCAAAGAGGAAGCUCCGGCUAACUACGUGCCAGCAGCCGCGGUAAUACGUAGGGAGCGAGCGUUGUCCGGAAUUACUGGGUGUAAAGGGAGCGUAGGCGGACGAGAAAGUUGAAUGUUAAAUCUACCGGCUUAACUGGUAGCUGCGUUCAAAACUUCUUGUCUUGAGUGAAGUAGAG